This 446-nucleotide ribosomal RNA is filed under the name uncultured bacterium. Its description in RNAcentral is "partial 16S ribosomal RNA". It matches the Rfam family "Bacterial small subunit ribosomal RNA", at positions 338 to 795 of the family's 1533-position model. The record is from RNAcentral.
CCUACGGGUGGCAGCAGUCGAGAAUCAUUCACAAUGGGGGAAACCCUGAUGGUGCGACGCCGCGUGGGGGAAUGAAGGUCUUCGGAUUGUAAACCCCUGUCAUGUGGGAGCAAAUUAAAAAGAUAGUACCACAAGAGGAAGAGACGGCUAACUCUGUGCCAGCAGCCGCGGUAAUACAGAGGUCUCAAGCGUUGUUCGGAAUCACUGGGCGUAAAGCGUGCGUAGGCUGUUUCGUAAGUCGUGUGUGAAAGGCGCGGGCUCAACCCGCGGACGGCACAUGAUACUGCGAGACUAGAGUAAGGGAGGGGGAACCGGAAUGCUCGGUGUAGCAGUGAAAUGCGUAGAUAUCGAGAGGAACACUCGUGGCGAAGGCGGGUUCCUGGACAUUAACUGACGCUGAGGCACGAAGGCUAGGGGAGCGAAAGGGAUUAGAUACCCGGGUAGUC